Molecule: long non-coding RNA, 232 nt
Filed under: Elaeis guineensis (African oil palm)
Lineage: Eukaryota; Viridiplantae; Streptophyta; Magnoliopsida; Arecales; Arecaceae
Description: long non-coding RNA (EGUI_LNC063549)
Source: RNAcentral
UGCCCCACUUAUUCUCAGAUCUGAUCUGAGAUCUAAAGAGAGAUUUUAGAGAGAGAGAGGAAGAGAAGAAGAAGGGUUCUUCUUUCUUGGUGUCCAGUUCAGAUCCCAUCAGAUUAGCGUGAAGAGUUCGUGCUAUAGUCCUGUUCUUCUAGAUCUUAAAGGAGUCCAGAUCCAAGUUAAAGAGCGAGGCUUACAAGGUGCUAGUCCUCUGAUGGUCUUAAUAUUCUGAUCA